This 383-nucleotide ribosomal RNA is filed under the name uncultured Glomeromycotina. Its description in RNAcentral is "SSU rRNA". It matches the Rfam family "Eukaryotic small subunit ribosomal RNA", at positions 569 to 961 of the family's 1831-position model. Lineage: Eukaryota; Fungi; Glomeromycota. The record is from RNAcentral.
AGCAGCCGCGGUAAUUCCAGCUCCAAUAGCGUAUAUUAAAGUUGUUGCAGUUAAAAGCUCGUAGUUGAACUUCGGGAUCAAUGGAUCGGUCAUGCCUUGGUAUGUACUGAUCAUAUUGGUUCUCACCUUCUAACGAACCAUAAUGUCAUUCAUUUGAUGUUAUGGGGAAUUAGGACUGUUACCUUGAAAAAUUGAGUGUUUAAAGCAGGCUCACGCUUGAAUACAUUAGCAUGGAAUAAUGAAAUAGGACAUCGCAUUCUAUUUUGUUGGUUUCUAGGAUCGAUGUAAUGAUUAAUAGGGAUAGUUGGGGGCAUUAGUAUUCAAUUGUCAGAGGUGAAAUUCUUGGAUUUAUUGAAGACUAACUACUGCGAAAGCAUUGCCAA